GUAGGCGGCUGGUCGCNUCUGUCGUGAAAUCCUCUGGCUUAACUGGGGGCUUGCGGUGGGUACGGGCCGGCUUGAGUGCGGUAGGGGAGGCUGGAACUCCUGGUGUAGCGGUGGAAUGCGCAGAUAUCAGGAAGAACACCGGUGGCGAAGGCGGGUCUCUGGGCCGUUACUGACGCUGAGGAGCGAAAGCGUGGGGAGCGAACAGGAUUAGAUACCCUGGUAGUCCACGCCGUAAACGUUGGGCACUAGGUGUGGGGGGCCUUUUCCGGGUUUUCCGCGCCGUAGCUAACGCAUUAAGUGCCCCGCCUGGGGAGUACGGCCGCAAGGCUAAAACUCAAAGGAAUUGACGGGGGCCCGCACAAGCGGCGGAGCAUGCGGAUUAAUUCGAUGCAACGCGAAGAACCUUACCAAGGCUUGACAUGUGCCGGUCGGCUCCGGAGACGGGGUUUCCUCCUUGUGGGGCCGGUUCACAGGUGGUGCAUGGUUGUCGUCAGCUCGUGUCGUGAGAUGUUGGGUUAAGUCCCGCAACGAGCGCAACCCUUGUCUCGUGUUGCCAGCACGUUGUGGUGGGGACUCGCGGGAGACUGCCGGGGUCAACUCGGAGGAAGGUGGGGAUGACGUCAAAUCAUCAUGCCCCUUAUGUCUUGGGCUUCACGCAUGCUACAAUGGCCGGUACAGAGGGCUGCGAUACUGUGAGGUGGAGCGAAUCCCUUAAAGCCGGUCUCAGUUCGGAUCGGUGUCUGCAACUCGACACCGUGAAGUUGGAGUCGCUAGUAAUCGCAGAUCAGCAACGCUGCGGUGAAUACGUUCUCGGGCCUUGUACACACCGCCCGUCACGUCAUGAAAGUCGGCAACACCCGAAG
RNAcentral lists this ribosomal RNA (863 nucleotides) under uncultured bacterium. RNAcentral describes it as "bacterial SSU rRNA". It matches the Rfam family "Bacterial small subunit ribosomal RNA", at positions 571 to 1426 of the family's 1533-position model. The record is from RNAcentral.